RNAcentral lists this ribosomal RNA (426 nucleotides) under uncultured bacterium. RNAcentral describes it as "bacterial SSU rRNA". It matches the Rfam family "Bacterial small subunit ribosomal RNA", at positions 31 to 502 of the family's 1533-position model. The record is from RNAcentral.
GUACGCUGGCGGCACGCCUAACACAUGCAAGUCGAACGAAGUAGCAAUACUUAGUGGCAGACGGGUGAGUAACAUGUGGGUAUCUGCCCUUUGGCCUGGAAUAACACGAGGAAACUUGUGCUAAUACCGGAUAAGUCUUUACAGAGAAAGCUUUAUGCACCAUUGGAUGAGCCCGCACUUGAUUAGUUUGUUGGUGGGGUAAUGGCUUACCAAGACUGUGAUCAAUAGCUGAUUUGAGAGGAUGAUCAGCCACAUUGGGACUGAGACACGGCCCAAACUCCUACGGGAGGCAGCAGUGGGGAAUCUUGCACAAUGGAGGAAACUCUGAUGCAGCGAUGCCGCGUGAGUGAAGAAGGCCCUUGGGUUGUAAAGCUCUUUCGUCGGGGAAGAAAAUGACUGUACCCGAAUAAGAAGGUCCGGCUAACU